ACAUCUCUUUUUGUACAAUAUAAAAAGUAGGCCCUGCCCGGUGCCAUUUGGUAAACGGCGGCCUUAGCGUGAGGGUCUUAAGGUAGCAUGAUAAGUCGGCCUUUAAUUGGGGUCUGGUAUGAAUGGGUUGACGUCGGAUAAGCUGUCUCGUAAAAUAUUAAUUGAAAUUAAUUUUAAAGUGAAGAAGCUUUAAUUAAAAAAAAAGACGACAAGACCCUACGAAGCUUUAUCUUAAUAUAAGUAUUAAUUUAGUCAAAUUGGUAAUUAAUAAUACUUUAAAUGGUUUUGUUGGGAUAACAAAACAGAAAUGUACUGUUUAAUGUUAAAUAUUACUUACAAGUAUAUAUCUUAUGUUUAGUAAAUAUGGCAAGUUACUCUAGGGAUAACAGCGCGAUCUUUUUUUAGAGUUGUAAUCGAAAAACAGGUUUGCGACCUCGAUGUUGGCUUUAGGUUACUUGAAGGUGUAGAGGCUUUCAAAGUGGGUCUGUUCGACCUUUAA
This 499-nucleotide ribosomal RNA is filed under the name Brachidontes variabilis. RNAcentral describes it as "partial 16S ribosomal RNA". It matches the Rfam family "Bacterial large subunit ribosomal RNA", at positions 1813 to 2591 of the family's 2925-position model. Lineage: Eukaryota; Metazoa; Mollusca; Bivalvia; Mytilida; Mytilidae. The record is from RNAcentral.